AUUGAACGCUGGCGGCAUGCCUUACACAUGCAAGUCGAACGGCAGCACGGGUGCUUGCACCUGGUGGCGAGUGGCGAACGGGUGAGUAAUACAUCGGAACAUGUCCUGUAGUGGGGGAUAGCCCGGCGAAAGCCGGAUUAAUACCGCAUACGAUCUACGGAUGAAAGCGGGGGCCCUUCGGGCCUCGCGCUAUCGGGUUGGCCGAUGGCUGCUUAGCUAGUUGGUGGGGUAAAGGCCUACCAAGGCGACGAUCAGUAGCUGGUCUGAGAGGACGACCAGCCACACUGGGACUGAGACACGGCCCAGACUCCUACGGGAGGCAGCAGUGGGGAAUUUUGGACAAUGGGCGAAAGCCUGAUCCAGCAAUGCCGCGUGUGUGAAGAAGGCCUUCGGGUUGUAAAGCACUUUUGUCCGGAAAGAAAUACUUGGCCCUAAUACGGUCGGGGGAUGACGGUACCGGAAGAAUAAGCACCGGCUAACUACGUG
This 486-nucleotide ribosomal RNA is filed under the name uncultured bacterium. RNAcentral describes it as "partial 16S ribosomal RNA". It matches the Rfam family "Bacterial small subunit ribosomal RNA", at positions 30 to 507 of the family's 1533-position model. The record is from RNAcentral.